Long non-coding RNA from Sardina pilchardus (European sardine), 756 nucleotides. RefSeq lists it as uncharacterized. The record is from RefSeq and is a predicted model, not a curated record. The transcript has 3 exons. Lineage: Eukaryota; Metazoa; Chordata; Actinopteri; Clupeiformes; Clupeidae.
GUUCAUUGGUCAGACGUUUUCAAUAAUCGUGUCAGUGUUGUGGGGAACAAUUAACACGUCUGUCAACUUUUCUUGACGAGAUUAGGCCACAGUGCCCCGAGGCUCCGUUCCUUGCCGUCCAAAGAGGUUGAGGUCCGUUUUAAAGUAAACAAACGACGUUUGCAUGUCUGAUUGUCAUCCAAAUCAAUGGAUAUCUUCCCUUGUCAUGCAGUGUGGAAAUAUUCCUCUGGAAUGUCUUAUCCAGCCUGUGAAGGUGUCUGCUGUGAAGUCCUCCUCAUGCUGUUGCAUCCAUGGCAGCCAGCGGCAGCGUCGGACUAUGUGGCUGGCGAUCGUAAAAACCUCCCACCCUCAAAACUCCUUAUAGCCUUGUUUGCAGAAUGUGCCCGGUGCUUGGAAACGCACACUGUCCCAGAUUACCACCUUAUUUUGGUUAAUCAUCACCAAAUCAGACCCCUCGCACUACCAGGGAUGAGAUCCCACAUAGAGUGUGUCUGAGAAUGUGAGCAGAUUCACUGUGAUACGUGGGCGUUCAUGGCCCUGUAAUAGGAAUAGGAGCAUAACUAACUCUGAAAUAGCAUCACACACAGCGGCGCUCCCUGCUCAUCGACCUAGCUAGUGGCAGACACAUCAACAGUAGCUCUGUGGCUGAUGAGAUUUCAAUCGUGCCUUCUAGCAAGAAUCAUCCAGGUUUAAGUCAUGUGCCGGUUCACUUGAUUCAAGUUCCAUUAUGUCCUAUAUCUUAGACAAUAGUAAAUU